UUCUGUGUUUUCUGCAGAUGCUGAAGAUCAUGAUUACAGCUAAAAUCAACAGAGAUCCAGCAGCCACAGCAGCAGAGAUCAACACUAUCAGAGAGACUGAAUCUGGAGGAUAUGAAGGACAGUGAAAGAGAUGUAAUAGUUUGCUGAUGUCCAGAUGUGUGGUCUGGUUGCUGAUGGGAUUGUUGAUCACACAGCUGUAGGUGUUUUUAUCCUGAUAUUCCACCUCCAGAGGUAGAGAGAGACUGAUGCUGAGAUCAGA
Molecule: long non-coding RNA, 259 nt
Organism: Labeo rohita (rohu)
Lineage: Eukaryota; Metazoa; Chordata; Actinopteri; Cypriniformes; Cyprinidae
Exons: 2
Source: RefSeq, a predicted model, not a curated record